ACGGGAGGCAGCAGUGAGGAAUAUUGGUCAAUGGGCGGAAGCCUGAACCAGCCAAGUCGCGUGAAGGGUGAAGGUAUUAUGUAUUGUAAACUUCUUUAGACGCAGAGAAAUAAGGGGCUCGCGAGCCCUGAUGCUAGUAUGCGUAGAAUAAGGAUCGGCUAACUCCGUGCCAGCAGCCGCGGUAAUACGGAGGAUCCGAGCGUUAUCCGGAUUUAUUGGGUUUAAAGGGUGCGCAGGCGGUCUUUUAAGUCAGUGGUUAAAGCGUGAGGCUCAACCUCAUCACGCCAUUGAUACUGGAGGACUUGAUUGCGGUUGAGGUGGGCGGAAUUCGCCGUGUAGCGGUGAAAUGCAUAGAUAUGGCGAAGAACUCCGAUUGCGUAGGCAGCUGACCAAGCCGUAAAUGACGCUCAUGCACGAAAGUGCGGGGAUCGAACAGGAUUAGAUACCCUGGUA
This 453-nucleotide ribosomal RNA is filed under the name uncultured Porphyromonadaceae bacterium. Its description in RNAcentral is "partial 16S ribosomal RNA". It matches the Rfam family "Bacterial small subunit ribosomal RNA", at positions 341 to 792 of the family's 1533-position model. The record is from RNAcentral. Lineage: Bacteria; Pseudomonadati; Bacteroidota; Bacteroidia; Bacteroidales; Porphyromonadaceae.